AUCCAAACUUGGUGGUUCAGUUCCAAUCGCCCCCUCCUCUCUUUAGGUUUUUGUCUUUUCUCCGAUCCUCUUCUCCACCUAUGAAUAGGAAUUGAGAUAGUUUUUUGAGUUCUCGUAUCUCAGAUUCAUGAGAAAAGAGACCCUUGUCUCCUUGUUCCCUCCAGGUGUUUGAUUCGAUUCAACUCGUGUUCUUUCCUUCUUAAUUUCCGUUGGAUUUUUCGAGUCCUUUUAUUUCUGUUCGUUCGACUUGCAGACGCGUGAGACUCUGCUUGUCUCCUUGUUCCCUCCAGACGCGUGAGACUCUGCGCUCCGCGGAUAUCGCCUGGCAGGCAGCACCAGCGCCGGAUCCGCUCCUGGCUGGGCGGGCAGCGCAGUCGGCGCACGGGAGCCCGCAGGUCCUGCCGCUGGAGGAGCAGUCGAGCUCAGGCGGCCGGGCCCAGGCGGAACCGGUCAGCGGCCGCCCGCACAGCUCUGCUGGCGUCGGUGUCCGGUCACCUGGCCGGGUUGGGGCGAGGCAGCCCACAGCACUUGGUGGUCGGUCUUCUCCUGAACGGGACAGCGCGCGGAGGCACAGCAGCACUGCAGCGGAUAAAGACGGGGCGCUGAAACACAGGGUUGGGCAGCCGAGCUUCACGCCCGCACGGUGCUCGACGAAUUGCCGCGCCGCACCGGUGGACAGCUGCAAGGCGCACGCCAAAGCGACCCAGGAGAAGGAGCAGGUCGGCACAGCAAGGUGUCCACACGCACUCAGACCCAACUCCCAAGUUCAGCGAGGCUUACAUGCAUUCUUGCUGCGCUCACUUUUGAUUGGUUUUUUCAAAUGUGAAAUGUUGCUUUCAUGCUACAGUAAGAACGGUUAGGCAAUCAUUACUUGCUGAAUUAGAUAUUCACUUAAGCUUUGCAUGAUUCCUGUAGAUUCGUGCACCAAAGCAUAAUUCUCUCGGUGUGCAUGCUAUAUGUCUGCUCUGUAGAAGUGUUUGUUUUGGAACUAGCGAUGCAUACUGCUUUUAUUCA
This is a long non-coding RNA of Panicum virgatum (switchgrass), 1014 nucleotides long. RefSeq lists it as uncharacterized. The transcript has 2 exons. The record is from RefSeq and is a predicted model, not a curated record. Lineage: Eukaryota; Viridiplantae; Streptophyta; Magnoliopsida; Poales; Poaceae.